Molecule: transfer RNA, 73 nt
Filed under: Pedobacter sp.
Lineage: Bacteria; Pseudomonadati; Bacteroidota; Sphingobacteriia; Sphingobacteriales; Sphingobacteriaceae
Description: tRNA-Asn
Rfam family: tRNA
About the family: Transfer RNA (tRNA) molecules are approximately 80 nucleotides in length. Their secondary structure includes four short double-helical elements and three loops (D, anti-codon, and T loops).
Source: RNAcentral
UCCUCAAUAGCUCAGCAGGUAGAGCAUCCGACUGUUAAUCGGUAGGUCAUUGGUUCAAGUCCAAUUUGGGGAG